This 1649-nucleotide long non-coding RNA is filed under the name Numida meleagris (helmeted guineafowl). RNAcentral's name for it is "lncRNA (ENSNMEG00000002298.1)". The record is from RNAcentral. Lineage: Eukaryota; Metazoa; Chordata; Aves; Galliformes; Numididae.
GAAAUGUGGGAAGUACUUGACGGAGAGUGGGCAUCUAAAUUAGAUCAUGCUCGAGUGAUCUCUGGAGUGUCCUUGGAGGCCUGAAAUGAGGAGCAAUUGUUGUGUUGGAAGGACAAACAUCUCCGCCUCCAGGUUGUGCUCUAUGGGACUGCUAAGCACUAUGGAACUGCAAGAAUGCCUGUAUAAUUAUAUCCGCUGUCCAAUUAGCAGUGCUGCAGCGUGAUGCCUACCUGAUGCUCUAGGAAUGUUGGAGUCCAAUUGCAAGAAAUGAAGCGCUACGUGAUAACCGUGUUGGUUGGUGAGUUUCCGCAGCGCUGCUGAGCACGCAGGCUUCCCCGACCGUGCCUUGGUCACCGCACUCCGUUGUGUGGUCGUCGUGUCUCACAGCCCCAGGCACCUUGCUGCGGUGCUGCUGGUAAGCGCAAUGUGCACAGUGUACGGCCUCUGCAUUUAUGGGGCACAGAGCCUUCAUUCCUGUGUUGUGCUCCGCAGGCGGCAGCGGAGAACUGCGGGGCUCCUGGGUGGUGCCGGAACUGCACGGAGACCUGUGGCUCCUCAUGAAGUCAGCUUGAAGCAGAAACCUGGAUUUCCUGGAAUGCCUCGGAACCCUCCUUGUCUGUCUGGUAACUGGUUGCCCAUACAGGAAUAGACAAAUGCUGUCGUCAUGGUUGCAGCCCCACGCUCUCCUAAUGCCGACUGCGCUGGCGACUCGGAGUGCAGCUCUGAAGAUGCACUGAGACCCUGCAGAUCCAGACCCUACUUGGACACCGUAGCGCUGCUGCCCCCUCCGCUGUCUCUCCCGUUUCUCUGGCACCGUUUCCAAUCUAGGUUUGCCGUUGCAGGACUCGACGGCUGAAAGAAGGUAGGCCCUCAGACCGCCGCACGCUGGGACCAGCAGGGAGCGGCUCUGGGACGGGUGCAGUCGAGCUGCGCUCGGUGAGUUUUAGCAGCGCUGCUGAGCACGCAGGCUUCCCCGACCGUGCCCCGGUCACCUAACUCAUUUGUGUCGUCGUUGUCUCACAGCCCCAGGCACCUUGCUGUGGUGCUGCCGGGAAGUUUAAUGUGCAAAGGGCGUGGGCUCUGCAUCUAUGGGGUAGAGCCUUCCUUCUUGUAUUGUAAUCCGCAGGUGGCAGCGCAGAACUGCGGUGCUUCUGUUUGGUGCCGGAACUGCACGGAGAUCUGUGGCUCUCCAUGAAGUCAGCGUGAAACGGAAAGCUGGAUUUGCUGGGCUGCCCCGGGACUAAACUUGGCUGCCUGCUCACUGCUUGCCCAUGCAGGUAAGGGCGGUGCACACCUACCAGUGUUUCCCCGUGACAUGGUGUGGCACAACACAGUGCAUCCGGAGCACUUUGUCAUUUAGAUAUCAUUCCUUUCUCAUUACCUUUUUAUGUCUUCAUAUUUUAUAUUAAUUUUUUAAUUGGUUUUUAUUUCUCUGCCCUUUUUAUUUUGUGUUUGUUCAGUGUUGUAAAAUUAGUGGGGCGGGCAGGCAUAUUCAGGGGCGGGCGGGCAUAUUCAGGGGCUCUCGUUUAUUGACUAAUUUUACUUAAAUUACUUUAUUUUAGUUUAUUGUGUUCUGUUUUGUGUUAUAUAGUCUAUAGUGUAUGUCGUGUACAUGCAGUGUUUAUCGAGUGUAUAUCCUGUCUAUUGAG